Molecule: ribosomal RNA, 188 nt
Filed under: uncultured bacterium
Lineage: Bacteria
Description: partial 16S ribosomal RNA
Rfam family: Bacterial small subunit ribosomal RNA
Source: RNAcentral
CGACUACAUGAAGCUGGAAUCGCUAGUAAUCGCGAAUCAGAAUGUCGCGGUGAAUACGUUCCCGGGUCUUGUACACACCGCCCGUCACACCAUGGGAGUCGGAAAUGCCCGAAGUCAGUGACCUAACCGAAAGGGAGGAGCUGCCGAAGGUGGAGCCGGUAACUGGGGUGAAGUCGUAACAAGGUAUC